RNAcentral lists this ribosomal RNA (308 nucleotides) under uncultured eukaryote. Its description in RNAcentral is "partial 18S ribosomal RNA". It matches the Rfam family "Eukaryotic small subunit ribosomal RNA", at positions 1470 to 1796 of the family's 1831-position model. The record is from RNAcentral.
CCCUUAGAUGUUCUGGGCCGCACGCGCGCUACACUGACGAAGGCAACGAGCUUUCCUUUACCGAAAGGUACGGGUAAUCUUUUGAAACUUCGUCGUGCUGGGGAUAGAUCCUUGCAAUUAUUGAUCUUAAACGAGGAAUUCCUAGUAAGCGCAAGUCAUCAACUUGCGUUGAUUACGUCCCUGCCCUUUGUACACACCGCCCGUCGCUACUACCGAUUGAAUGGUUUAGUGAGGCCUUCGGAUCCGCAACUCGUUUUGUGGAGAAGUUGGACAAACUCAGUCAUUUAGAGGAAGUAAAANUCGUAACA